RNAcentral lists this long non-coding RNA (2302 nucleotides) under Apteryx owenii (little spotted kiwi). Its description in RNAcentral is "lncRNA (ENSAOWG00000005608.1)". Lineage: Eukaryota; Metazoa; Chordata; Aves; Apterygiformes; Apterygidae. The record is from RNAcentral.
UGAUGUCACGCCAUGUUUGAUGUCACGCUGGUUGCAUGUGACGUCACAACGAUUCCAUGGGUGGCGUCACGCCAAUGCCAUGUUUGACGUCACGCCAGUUCCAUGUUUGGCGUCACGCCAAUGCCAUGUUUGACGUCACGCCAGUUCCAUGUUCGGCGUCACGCCAACGCCAUGUUCGACGUCACGCUGGUUGCAUAUGAUGUCAUGCCGGUUCCGUGUUCGAUGUCACGCCGGUUGCGUGUGACAUCACGACGAUUCUGUGUGCGGUGUCACGCCAGUGCCAUGUUUGCCGUCACACCAAUGCCGUGUUCGAUGUCACACCAGUUCCAUGUUUGGUGUCACACCAAUGCCGUGUUCGAUGUCACGCCAGUUCCGUGUGACGUCACGCCGAUGCCAUGUUUGACAUCACACCAGUUCCAUGUUUGGUGUCACGCCAAUGCCGUGUUUGAUGUCACACCGGUUGCGUGUGACGUCACGCUGGUUGCAUGUGACAUCACGAUGAUGCCGUGUGAUGUCAUGCCAAUGCCGUGUUCGAUGUCACGCUAGUUCCGUGUUCGCGUCACACCAGUUCUGUGUGAUGUCAUAACAAUUCCGUGUUCAGCGUCACGCCGGUUCCAUGUGGCGUCAUGACGAUUCCGUGUGCAGCGUCACGCCAAUGCCAUGUUUGACGUCACGCCAGUCCCAUGUUCGGCGUCACACCGGUGGCGUGUGACAUCACAACGAUGCCGUGUGCGGCGUCACGCCGUUCGCGUGCUCGGCGUCACGCCAACUCCGUGGCCGCAGGCCUUUCCGCGUCCCUCGUGGUGUCCCCGGAUGUUUCCGUGUCCCCGGAAGUUUCCACGUCUCUGGAAGUUUCCGUGUUUCUGGAAGUUUCCACCUCUCCAGAAGUUUCUGCAUCUCUGGAAGUUUCCCUGUUUCCGGAUGUUUCCGCAUCCUUAGAUGUUUCCACUUCCCCAGAAAGUUCCGUGUUGCCGGACGUUUCCGCCGCCCCGGAACUUUCUGCGUUUCCGGGUGUUUCCUCCUCCCUGGAAGCCUCCAUUUUUCCAGACGUUUCUGUUUUUCCGGACGUUUCCGUAUCCUUAGACGUUUCCGUCUUGCCAGGCGUUUCCGUUUUUCCAGACGUUUCCGCAUCCUUAGACGUUUCCGUGUUGCCAGGCGUUUCCGCCUCCCCAGAAGGCUCCGUGUUGCCAGAAGUUUCCGCCUCUCCGGAAGUUUCUGCGUUUCUGGGUGUUUCUGCCUCUCUGGACGUUUCCGUUUCUCCGGAUGUUUCCGUUUUUCCAGAUGUUUCCGUGUUUCCGUGUGGCUUGCGGCGCAGCAGGGCCCGGUAGCGAGCACCGGCGGCUGCGACGGCUCCCUGCAGCUGCGCCAGCUCCACAGCCAGCGAGACGCCUGCGUUCCGGGCGGAAAAAAGCCAGUUUGGGGAAAAACGGGGCAAUUUUGGGGGCGCCGCGGCCGGGCUUGGGUGUUUCCUUUCGGUGCUUUCCCGCGUCCCCCUAAUUCGGUAUUUUUUCCCCCAAAUUUUGUUUUUUUCCCCCCUAGUUUUGGGUAUUUCCCUCCAAUUUCGGGUUUUUCCCUCCAAUUUUGAGUUUUUUCCCCCCCAAUUUGGAUUUUUUUCCCCCAGUUUCAAUUUUUUCCCACUUUUGAUUUUUUCCCCUUAUUCUGGGGCUUUUUUUUUUCUUUUUUGGGUUCAUAUUCUAUAAUUUGAGCCCAUUUUGGGGUGUCUUUGCCUGUUUUAGGGCGUUCCCUAUUACUUGAACUCAUUUUGGGCAGGUUUCUAUCUAUUUUGGGUGUUUUCCUCCCCUUCCUUAAAACUUUUUUGGGGACAUUUCUCCAUUUUGGGGGGGGUUGUCUUUUUUUUGGUGCUAAUUUGAGGUCGUUUCUCCAUUUUGGGGUGUUUUCAUUCAAUUUGGGGUGUUUUCUGCUCUUACUUGGCCCUUUAGGAAGGUGUUUUUCCCCUUUUUGGCAUUUUCUCGCCCCAUAAUUCAACCCCAUUUUGGGGUGGUUUUGCCCAUUUUUGUGUGUUCCCUGUUUGUUACUUGAUCCCAUUUUGAGCAGAUUUUUGUCCGUUUUGGGCUGUUUCCCCUCAUUCUUUGAUAUUUAUUUUACAAUUUGUCCCCUUUUUGGGGUGUUUUUGCCUGAUUUUUGGUACUAAUUUGGGGUCUUUUCUCCAUUUUGGGGUGUUUUCACUUGCUUUGACAUGUUUUCUACCAUUACUUAGCUCCUUUUUUGGGGUGUUUUCCCUUUUUUGGUAGCUUUUUUUCACUUUUUGGGGGUGUUUUCACCCCAUUUUGGUGCCUCUCCC